AUGCCAAAACCCGGCCCAACUGAAAUCUAAAACAAAAUCCAAAAGAUAAAAACUAUAGAAAAAUCUAGAAAGGGAAAGUCACUUCAUCUUCUUCCAUGUAUAGAAUUAGGCUAGCUCUGUUGACGAUCUACUGCUGAAUACAAAAAUGGAGCAAGAUCGUAGUUGUAUCAUCACCUCCCAUAUCUGCAUCUCAUUGAGUUCAGGUUGAGCCAGAGCUCUAGUAUCCCUACAUAGUCCAGCAGACCUUCAAUGAUGUUUAGAAGCACGAGCUUCAGAGAACCAGUAG
Capsicum annuum is the source of this 286-nucleotide long non-coding RNA. RefSeq lists it as uncharacterized. The transcript has 3 exons. The record is from RefSeq and is a predicted model, not a curated record. Lineage: Eukaryota; Viridiplantae; Streptophyta; Magnoliopsida; Solanales; Solanaceae.